This is a long non-coding RNA of Arvicola amphibius (Eurasian water vole), 2158 nucleotides long. RefSeq lists it as uncharacterized. NCBI's taxonomy places the organism in Eukaryota, Metazoa, Chordata, Mammalia, Rodentia, Cricetidae. The record is from RefSeq and is a predicted model, not a curated record. The transcript is spliced from 5 exons.
CUGGUACAAAGUUCUAGUUUUGUACAAAGCACAAGAUUACUAGUGCGUGCCAAAGCAAAGGACAGAAAAUGCGUUUCUCCUGACUGAACUUGUUUGCGGACUAUUAAUAUUGCUCAGUUUAGCAGAAUUUUUUGGAGGGAAGAGAGAGAACAUGUGUACUUGGCUAUCUCGGUGUCAAAGUUGCCUUCCAUCCUUGGUGUGGAGCGUGGGACAGCACGGUAUUAGGAGAACAGAGUGUCUUUCAUGGAGACGGAGGCAAAGAGAACAACACGCUACCUUCCCAGCACAUCUGAGUCUACCUGCUUCUGCAGCAUCAAGGUCCACAGCGGGAAAGAUCUUGCAUGAAGACACUGUUCCCAGGCACAUUUCAAGGUCCACUAAAUUUGCCUGGGAAAUGCACUGAAACUUCAGUCAGCUCUUCCAGUGUGGAGAAGGCUUUCCUCGAAGAAGGACGAGCCUUCCCCCCUCCCCACCAACUCCCACCCACAGAGCAAAAGAUGAAAGACAGGAAUGCUCCUUAUGCAAAACUAACACCCAGAUGUGACUUCAGUGAAACAGCUUUCAGGAAGUCGACAGGCAUGCUGGUGUUUCGCUGACAAAAUGGACGGCACAGUUGGGAGCAAGAAGUCUAGAGGUAUUUGCAAGAAACACAAGAGUUGAAGAGGCUGUGAACGCCAGCACAGAUAGAGGAUGCCUGCCAGUUAUCAAGUCCGUCCCCUUGCUAAUAUUUUUAUAUCAUCGAAGGGUCAGCAUGUAUAAUCCCUUUGAAAUUCGUGAAAAUGAGCUUUGUGGCGUUAGUACAAUCAGUUUGUAGAUUAAUUUUGGUAGAACAGAAAACCCAUCAAGGUAGGAAACUUGAAACAUCAAAAGUCUACGACCAUCACUGUGAGUCACCCCAGGAUAGAUAAUGAGACUCGGACUCGGUACUCACAAAGUCUGAUGACUCUGGAGGAGACUUACUGUAUUGUGAAUUGCUUGUAUCUCCACUACAAGACGGUGUUGUCCAUGGUCCUUGGUUUCAUAUAACGAAAUGCAGUUUGAACAGUUUACAGAUAAAAGCAAUAGUUUAGAAGGUUUAUAUAUUACAUAGAAUUAGGGAAGGCUGGUGAGGCUGAAGGUUAAGCCACCUAAAGCUAUGACGGAAAUACGGCCAUGACUCUGAUGUCACCAACACUGAGUGCCGUGCAUGCACCCCUGGUGUAAAGAACACAGACAUCAGUGACAAGGACCACAUCCUUUUGAUUUGUGAAGAUGCUGCACUUCUGGAUGCGUUAGUGCCCCUAGAUCCCACACAGUCUCUGAUCACUGUGCUUUUUCUUAAGUCCUAGUGGCUUUCUUAAGUCCGAGUGGAUGAGUGGCUUACUGGUAGAGAUCCUGCCUAGUGGGCAGGAAGGGGCCCUGGGAUUGGUCCCUAGCACUGAAUAAAAGAAACAGUGAGGUGGGAGGAUGUGUAAGGGGAUGGCUUUACAUUUAUGCAGAAAGUGACAACAUGUGACAAGAUGCUCGCAGUCCUGUUGAAAAGAAUUUUCCAAUUAUCAUACAUGUCCUUGCAGGUCCUUGUGCAUUUGCCUAAUUUUUGGGAAAGAAUAAUGUAUAGAAGUGUAGUUAACAGGAAAGACAAUUUAGGCUUGUGAAAAUAACACACUAUUGAUCUCCAACAAGAGUUUAAUCAAUGCAAACUUUGGCUGAUAGUAAAGGAAUAUUUAGCUCUGUGUUCUCAUUUGCACAAGAAUAGUUAGUUUAAUUGGAACAUUUUCCUUCAGAUGUAUAUGUCUGGCAAUGUUAACUUUUAAUUAGCUGAUUAAUUAUUUUACCACAAAGUUUAUGGUAAGAGGAUAAACUGCUCAUUUUUAAAUUAAUGUUUUAUUUUCUUAUAUUACUGUAGCUUUAAAGAAAAUUUGUCAAAAUAGCACGAGCUCCUGUGUGCUGGCCAUAUUAUCUGCUUGUAGCUUUUGUUUUUGAACUUGAAAUAUAGUUAGUUAAGUGCAAAAAAACCCCAUUUUUACAUUAGCCUAACUUUAACUAACUAAUGUUUUAUAAUAUGUUAAUAAGAUAGGAAUCCAAAGCCUUAAGAAGAGUUGCACAAUUGUGUAAAAAAUGAUCUGUAGGCAAAAUACAGAAGAUUUCAAUAGCAAUAAAACUGAUGUGAUUUCAUUUA